UACGUAGGGUCCGAGCGUUGUCCGGAAUUAUUGGGCGUAAAGGGCUCGUAGGCGGUUUGUUACGUCGGGAGUGAAAACUCAGGGCUCAACCCUGAGCGUGCUUCUGAUACGGGCAGACUAGAGGUAUUCAGGGGAGAACGGAAUUCCUGGUGUAGCGGUGGAAUGCGCAGAUAUCAGGAGGAACACCGGUGGCGAAGGCGGUUCUCUGGGAAUUACCUGACGCUGAGGAGCGAAAGCAUGGGGAGCGAACAGG
RNAcentral lists this ribosomal RNA (253 nucleotides) under uncultured bacterium. RNAcentral describes it as "partial 16S ribosomal RNA". It matches the Rfam family "Bacterial small subunit ribosomal RNA", at positions 524 to 776 of the family's 1533-position model. The record is from RNAcentral.